AGAGUUUGAUCCUGGCUCAGAUUGAACGCUGGCGGCAGGCCUAACACAUGCAAGUCGAGCGGUAACAGAAAGUAGCUUGCUACUUUGCUGACGAGCGGCGGACGGGUGAGUAAUGCUUGGGAACAUGCCUUGAGGUGGGGGACAACAGUUGGAAACGACUGCUAAUACCGCAUAAUGUCUACGGACCAAAGGGGGCUUCGGCUCUCGCCUUUAGAUUGGCCCAAGUGGGAUUAGCUAGUUGGUGAGGUAAUGGCUCACCAAGGCGACGAUCCCUAGCUGGUUUGAGAGGAUGAUCAGCCACACUGGGACUGAGACACGGCCCAGACUCCUACGGGAGGCAGCAGUGGGGAAUAUUGCACAAUGGGCGCAAGCCUGAUGCAGCCAUGCCGCGUGUGUGAAGAAGGCCUUCGGGUUAUAAAGCACUUUCAGUCAGGAGGAAAGGUUAGUAGUUAAUACCUGCUAGCUGUGACGUUACUGACAGAAGAAGCACCGGCUAACUCCGUGCCAGCAGCCGCGGUAAU
RNAcentral lists this ribosomal RNA (521 nucleotides) under uncultured bacterium. Its description in RNAcentral is "bacterial SSU rRNA". It matches the Rfam family "Bacterial small subunit ribosomal RNA", at positions 8 to 524 of the family's 1533-position model. The record is from RNAcentral.